GACGAACGCUGGCGGCGUGCUUAACACAUGCAAGUCGAACGGAAAGGCCCUGCUUUUGUGGGGUGCUCGAGUGGCGAACGGGUGAGUAACACGUGAGUAACCUGCCCUUGACUUUGGGAUAACUUCAGGAAACUGGGGCUAAUACCGGAUAGGAGCUCCUGCUGCAUGGUGGGGGUUGGAAAGUUUCGGCGGUUGGGGAUGGACUCGCGGCUUAUCAGCUUGGUGGUGGGGUAGUGGCUUACCAAGGCUUUGACGGGUAGCCGGCCUGCGAGGGUGACCGGCCACAUUGGGACUGAGAUACGGCCCAGACUCCUACGGGAGGCAGCAGUGGGGAAUAUUGCACAAUGGGCGGAAGCCUGAUGCAGCAACGCCGCGUGCGGGAUGACGGCCUCCGGGUUGUAAACCGCUUUCGCCUGUGACGAAGCGUGAGUGACGGUAAUGGGUAAAGAAGCACCGGCUAACUACGUG
Molecule: ribosomal RNA, 468 nt
Filed under: uncultured bacterium
Lineage: Bacteria
Description: partial 16S ribosomal RNA
Rfam family: Bacterial small subunit ribosomal RNA
Source: RNAcentral